RNAcentral lists this ribosomal RNA (482 nucleotides) under uncultured bacterium. RNAcentral describes it as "partial 16S ribosomal RNA". It matches the Rfam family "Bacterial small subunit ribosomal RNA", at positions 30 to 507 of the family's 1533-position model. The record is from RNAcentral.
AUUGAACGCUGGCGGCAUGCUUUACACAUGCAAGUCGAACGGUAACAGGCCGCAAGGUGCUGACGAGUGGCGAACGGGUGAGUAAUGCAUCGGAACGUGCCCAGUCGUGGGGGAUAACUACUCGAAAGAGUUGCUAAUACCGCAUACGAUCUAUGGAUGAAAGCGGGGGACCGUAAGGCCUCGCGCGAUUGGAGCGGCCGAUGUCAGAUUAGGUAGUUGGUGGGGUAAAGGCUCACCAAGCCAACGAUCUGUAGCUGGUCUGAGAGGACGACCAGCCACACUGGGACUGAGACACGGCCCAGACUCCUACGGGAGGCAGCAGUGGGGAAUUUUGGACAAUGGGCGCAAGCCUGAUCCGGCAAUGCCGCGUGCAGGAAGAAGGCCUUCGGGUUGUAAACUGCUUUUGUACGGAACGAAACGGCUCUGGUUAAUACCCGGGGCUAAUGACGGUACCGUAAGAAUAAGCACCGGCUAACUACGUG